This 254-nucleotide ribosomal RNA is filed under the name uncultured bacterium. Its description in RNAcentral is "partial 16S ribosomal RNA". It matches the Rfam family "Bacterial small subunit ribosomal RNA", at positions 524 to 776 of the family's 1533-position model. The record is from RNAcentral.
UACGGAGGGUGCGAGCGUUGUCCGGAAUCAUUGGGCGUAAAGGGCGCGUAGGUGGCGCGGCAAGCGUGCGGUGAAAGCUCGGGGCUCAACCCCGAGUCGGCCGUGCGAACUGCUGGGCUUGAGCACUGUAGAGGCAGGCGGAAUUCCGGGUGUAGCGGUGGAAUGCGUAGAGAUCCGGAAGAACACCGGUGGCGAAGGCGGCCUGCUGGGCAGUAGCUGACACUGAGGCGCGACAGCGUGGGGGAGCAAACAGG